AACUAGCGAAGGAUAGCCUUAAUUCUUAGUU
RNAcentral lists this non-coding RNA (31 nucleotides) under unclassified sequences. RNAcentral's name for it is "S4-Flavobacteria ribosomal protein leader". It matches the Rfam family "S4-Flavobacteria ribosomal protein leader". The record is from RNAcentral.